ACGAACGCUGGCGGCGUGCUUAACACAUGCAAGUCGAACGGUGAAGCGCCUUCCUUUUUGGUGGGUGUGGAUGAGUGGCGAACGGGUGAGUAACACGUGAGUAACCUGCCCCCUUCUUCUGGAUAACCGCAUGAAAGUGUGGCUAAUACGGGAUAUUCUGGGUCUGUCGCAUGAUGGGUCUGGGAAAGAUAUUGUUUCGGUGGGGGAUGGGCUCGCGGCCUAUCAGCUUGUUGGUGGGGUGAUGGCCUACCAAGGCGGUGACGGGUAGCCGGCCUGAGAGGGUGGACGGUCACACUGGGACUGAGACACGGCCCAGACUCCUACGGGAGGCAGCAGUGGGGAAUAGUGCACAAUGGGCGCAAGGCUGAUGCAGCGACGCCGCGUGAGGGAUGGAGGCCUUCGGGUUGUGAACCUCUUUCGCCAGUGAAGCAGGCCUGCCUCGUUUGUGGGUGGGUUGACGGUAGCUGGAUAAGAAGCGCCGGCUAACUACGUG
This 493-nucleotide ribosomal RNA is filed under the name uncultured bacterium. Its description in RNAcentral is "partial 16S ribosomal RNA". It matches the Rfam family "Bacterial small subunit ribosomal RNA", at positions 29 to 507 of the family's 1533-position model. The record is from RNAcentral.